RNAcentral lists this ribosomal RNA (255 nucleotides) under uncultured bacterium. RNAcentral describes it as "partial 16S ribosomal RNA". It matches the Rfam family "Bacterial small subunit ribosomal RNA", at positions 100 to 353 of the family's 1533-position model. The record is from RNAcentral.
GACGGGUGAGUAACACGUGAGCAACCUGGCUCUAAGAGGGGGACAACAGUUGGAAACGACUGCUAAUACCGCAUAACGUAUCGGGAUGGCAUCUUCCUGAUACCAAAGAUUUUAUCGCUUAGAGAUGGGCUCGCGUCUGAUUAGAUAGUUGGCGGGGUAACGGCCCACCAAGUCGACGAUCAGUAGCCGGACUGAGAGGUUGAACGGCCACAUUGGGACUGAGACACGGCCCAGACUCCUACGGGAGGCAGCAUG